RNAcentral lists this non-coding RNA (30 nucleotides) under Mus musculus (house mouse). The record is from RNAcentral. Lineage: Eukaryota; Metazoa; Chordata; Mammalia; Rodentia; Muridae.
UUCUAUCAACCAAGAAAGUGCCUGGACAGU